Molecule: transfer RNA, 70 nt
Filed under: Tomocerus caputiviolaceus
Lineage: Eukaryota; Metazoa; Arthropoda; Collembola; Entomobryomorpha; Tomoceridae
Description: tRNA-Asn
Source: RNAcentral
UUAAAAGAAUCUAAAGUUUAAGUAUACCACUGUUAAUGGUAAUUAGAGAAUCCCAUCUUCUCCUUUUAAA